CCUACGUGAGGCAGCAGUGGGGGAUAUUGCACAAUGGGGGGAACCCUGAUGCAGCGACGCCGCGUGGGUGAAGGAGCGUUUCGGCGCGUAAAGCCCUAUCGGCAGGGAAAAGGGAGGACGUUACCUGCCUAAGAAGCCCCGGCUACCUCCGUCCCAGCAGCCGCGGUACUACGUAGGGGGCAAGCGUUAUCCGGAUUUACUGGGCGUACAGGGCUCGUAGGCGGUAUGUCAAGUCAAGGGUGAAUUCCCCGCGCUCAACGUGGGAACUGCCUUUGAAACUGGCAAACUGGAGUGUGUGAGAGGAUAGUGGAAGUCCAGGUGUAGGAGUGAAAUCCGUAGAUAGCUGGAGGAACAUCAGUGGCGAAGGCGACUAUCUGGCACAUAACUGACGCUGAGGAGCGAAAGCGUGGGUAGCAAACAGGAUUAGAUACCCGUGUAGUC
RNAcentral lists this ribosomal RNA (441 nucleotides) under uncultured bacterium. RNAcentral describes it as "partial 16S ribosomal RNA". It matches the Rfam family "Bacterial small subunit ribosomal RNA", at positions 338 to 795 of the family's 1533-position model. The record is from RNAcentral.